UUUUUUUUUUUUUUUAAGUUUUUUCCAAUUAAUAAAAAUAUUUCUUUUUUUUGUAAAUUUGUUAUAACCUGAAAUUUUUAAUGUUAUAGCUUGAAAGUCUAAAUCUACUGUUAUAGCUUGAAAAUAGUACUAUAAUAUAUGUCAUAUAUGAAAUUUACACUUCAGCAAUAUAGCUUGAACCGGCCCGUGGUCUAAAUAAAAAAUUAAUUAAAAAAUAAAAAUAAUAUAGAGUAUUAAAAGUAACAAAAGUUUAAACUCAAAGUCUAUGUAAAGUUUUAAACAUCAAAAUUUAGAAUCAUCAAAACGUGAUGUACUUAGUAUCCCUAUUACUACUGUAUCAUUGGAAUCAUCAUUCACUAUUGGUGGACGUGUUCUCACAAAGUAUAGAAGUUGCAUCCAUCAUGAAAAUAUUCAAACACUUGUUUCUACUGGAAACUGGCUGCAUGAUUUUUUUCAAACAAGUAAUAUUUUUUACGUACAGAUAAAUAUUAUACGUAGUUCUUAAAUUUAGUGAUUUUCUUAUGUGUAACUAAUUGAUAUUGCAUAUAAACCGUAUAUGAAAAUGAAGAUGUUAAGACAACCUUGCCACAAGAUGAUUCAUAACUGCUUGAUGAAGAUGAUGUGUUGGUGUUGAAUACGCCAUAAGUUUCAUGCAUUUUUUUAAGGAGUUCAUUUUUCACUUUUUAAUGAUUGGAAUAUUGUCAUAUUUUUUGUGAUCAUUAAAAAAUAAUUAGGUUAAUAUUUCUAUUUAGCUAGUUAUAUUUUUACUUGAAGUCAAACUUAAUAAACAAUAUAAAGAUUAUUUUAUUAGUGGAUUUGGUUAACCAGUAGUAACUCUAAUCAUGUAAUAUUCUCUUGUCGAUAUUUAUGUUAAUAUUUUUAAGGGAAAAUUAGCAAACUAGUCAAAAAACCUAACUUAAUUAGUAAAAACUUCCAUACUUUAUAAAUAUUAGUAAAAAUGUCAAAAUAUCAUUAUUUUUGAAAAUAUUGUGUAUCCUAAUUUACUUCCUAUUUUAUUUCACCUUAAUUACACAUUUUUCAGUUAAUUCUCUCUCAUAUGUAUAAAAAAAAGUGAAUAUUUUCAUCUUCCAAUUCUUCUCCAUUUCAAAGCCUGUCUCUCUUUGUUCCUUCUUGUUUGUUUGUUUUUUUCUUUCAGAAAUUGGAAAAUAUAUUUUAUAAAGAUAUUCACACAAUCCCUUUGAUUAAGAUAUGCAUAUAAGAUUUGUUUUAUGAUUUUUUUUUAAAUCGUUCAAAAUUGUUGUCUGUAGUUGAAAUGAUGUUUAGGGUUUGAUAAACUCCAAAUCACUCUCCAAUGGUAGAAUUUAAGAGAAUUACUUGAGGUAUCCAACUUAAUCAACAAUUUUCUAGAGAUUUUCCAUCAUUUAAUCUACGUAUUACUCAAGAAAUAGCGGAUAAUGUAGGAUCCGCUGCUGAAAUGAUGGAAGAGACGAUCGAAACAUUUACAGGACCCAAUCAGUGUGCAAAACCUUCUUCAAAUUUAGAACAGAGUUGUUUAUUGUAUUCCCAAUUUUAUUUUAUUUUUGUAUUUGUGAAUAUUUUGUUAGUUUUGAUAAAAUAUCACAUAUUUGGAAUCAUCCUUUUCUAGGUAUGUAUAUUGGUAUGUAUUUAGUAAAUUAAUGAUAUUUUUAUACUUUAGAUAGUGAUGCUAUUUCAGAUUGUAUUAAUGAAUUCUUAUUGGAUAGUUUUGUAUUCAUCAUGGUAUAUUUGUUGUAUUUGUGUUGUGUGAUUUUAUAAGUUACUGUACUUAUAGGUUUUUGUAUUCACUAUGCUCUGUAUAUCAUUUUCUAGUUAUGAACAUUGUAAGAGUGUUGUUUGUAUCCAAUUAAGUAAAGAUACAUAUUAACUUAUACAUUUGUAUUCCUUUAAAACAAAUAGUGUUGAUAUUUCAGAUUGUAUUCACUCCUUAUUAUUUGAUUGUUUUGUAUUCAUUAUGGCAUAUUUGUUGUAAUUGUGUUAUGAGCUUUACAAGUUACUGUAUUUACAUGUGUUUGUAUUCAUUAUGCUAUGUGUAUCAUUUUCUAGUUAUGGACAUUGCAAGAGUGUUAUUUGUAUCCAGUCAAGUUAAUAUACAUAUUAACUUUAUAAAUUUGUAUUCAUUUUAAAUCAGUAUAGCAUAUUUGGAAUAUUCAUGAUAUCAUAAUAAUUAUUGUAUCUGUCUGGUGUGGAUUACAAGUUACAUUAUGGUUUAAAUUUGUAUUUAUAUGAUGUGGUUUCUAAGAUACAAUGUAGUUCAAUAAAUAGAAAACAAAUAACAAAUAAAUAAAUGAAAAUACAGUACAAUUGUCGUAAAAAAUUGUACCCGCUCCAAUGUGUUUUUCGUAGGAAUACGAUUUGAUUUGAAAAAUUAAAAACAAACAGCCAAUGAAAAAAACAUGUCUUCAAACAAUCCAUUAUUAUUUUCGUAUUCAACAAGAAAAAAAUUCAACGAAUCCACCAAAACUAAUUAUUCAUACGUUGUUCAUAAUACAUACAAUUUACAAUGAAAAUAGAUACAAUUUACAAUUAUGUAUAAAAAUUUAUAUCAAAAUUAUAAUCAAUUAGAAACAAAUUAAGGAUGAAGCGAUUAACUAAUACAUGGUCCAAUUUGUAUUCCACCAAUUUUAUCGAACUUCCAGCAGAAAAAUCCAUCUCCAAAGCUGCUUGUCAACAAUUUUUUUGUCUUAUUUCGUUCAAAUCUAUCUUACCAAACAGGAAAAAAAAUAGAUUUUAAUCAAAAUAAAUUGAUCAGAGAUUGAGUAUUUUCAAUUGAAUCUUGAAUAUCGAUAAUGAGAAAAUUGAUCAACAAUGGAGUCGCCGAUGAAGUAUUCAGUUUUGAUUUUUGUAACUAAUGAGACUUUUAAGGGAUUGUUCCUUUUUAAAAUUAUUUUUCCCCUAAAUUUCUCCUUUCUGCUAUUUAACAAUUGUAUUCUUUCAAUUAAAACAAAUAAUAAAAACUUAAAUAAGAUACAUAAUAAACUAUUUUUUGACAUUUUUACUAAAUAUUGAAAGUGUUGACAAUGGAUCCUAUUAAAUGUUAAAAUAUUGACAUUUUGAAUUAUUACCCUAUUUUUAAAGUAUAAUUUUAAAAAAUUAUUAAAAGAAUAUUUUUUUAAAAAAAUGGGUUGACCCACCACGAUCUGCAGCCCACGUACUAAUGGUUGGGCUAGUUGUUUUUUGGCCCACAAAAAAUUGGUCAGUCGUCCUAGCCCGUCAAAUUUUAAAGCUUGUAUGGAUUAGUCCUGGUGGAGUGGCUAGCCCAUAUUGACAACUCUAAUUAAGAUUAUAUAAGGCUAAACUUUCUUUCAGAAAAAGAAAAUAGUAAUCAUAAAUGUGAAUAAAACAAGAAAUUUAAUAUUAGAUUCUAACAUUUUUAAUUUAUGAGUCUAAUAAGUAAUAAGAAAAAAAAGAAGAUGAAGCAGGAAAAUGUUGCAUUUGGAGUUUCAAAAUUAAAACAUGUCAAAGUUGAGUUUCUUUUAUUUUUUUAAAGAAAUAUUCAAAAUUACCCUUUGAUUAUAAUAGAUACAUUUAACCUUUUAAAUUUAUUUGUCCAAACAUUAUUACCAUUUUAUUGGAAGUGCUAAUCAAAGGAAGUGGGAAAAUAUUGCAUUUGGGAUUUCAAAAUUCAAAACCGGUCAAAGUUGUGUUGUUUUUUUAUGAAAUAAUCAAAAUUACCCUUUGACUAUAAUAAAUGCAUUUAACUUUUUACCUUAUUUGUCUGUUACCAUUUUUUGGAAAUCCUAAUCCUUUUAUAUUUCGAUGGAUACGUUUUCAGUUCCUCACCAAUUCGUUUCGUUGUUCUCAAUAAAAAAAUCCUUUAUGAAAAAUGCAGCCACCGCCAACAAGAUGAAUGGAUCACCAAGACAUCAUAAUGAAAUUUUGGCCUAUUUUAUUUCACAAAUCUUGGCCAAAAUAAACAAUAUACUGUUGAAAGAGAUAGUUAUUACAUCUAUACAAGUUAGAUAAAAUCAUACAUCUAAAAAAAAAAAAUGUAAACAAUUCACAAUUUAUUAACUCCAUACGUAAUUUUCCAAGUAGUCCACCCCACCCCACCCCCACCUCUACUUCAACCAUCUAAUACGUCGUUUGGUUGGGAACAAGUCAUCCCAGGAUAAGUUAUCCUGGGAUUAGCUAUCCUGGGAUAACUUAUCCCACCAUGUAUAUGAGAUAACUUAUCUCAUCACUAAGAUAUUAAUGGUGGGAUAAGUUAUCCCAAACAUGGCAACCAAACAAGAUAAAAAAAAAUUAUCCCAUCACUAUUAUUUUUUAUAACCUGCCAUGAAAUUACUCUAUCAUCACCCUAUGCUAGAAGUGUAACAAUUGGCUUCCUUCAGAAUAGCAAAACAUACAUAUAUCUUCAAUUAAUAAAGCAACCAAGGCCUCACACAGUCACAGACAAUGCCUCAGUAGCAGUCACAUAUACAUUAAUUCAACAGAGGGGAUAAAGGGAAGAACCUUGUUCAACUCUACUCUUAGAUGAUCUAAAAAAGCAACAACAUUAUACUGUUCAUAUAUCUAAUAGAACACUUCACUAUUAAUUCGAACGGUCUUCAGAACCAUAACUAAUAAGAAAUAGCCCAGAAACUAUUGCAUAUAUGCUUUAACCAUAUGAUCACAUAUUUUUGGACUCAUCAUCUGAUUCCUCAGAAGAGACAUCGGUAUCUGUGUCAGUAGUUCCAAUCGCGGCUGCUGCUUCUG
Molecule: long non-coding RNA, 4695 nt
Filed under: Solanum tuberosum (potato)
Lineage: Eukaryota; Viridiplantae; Streptophyta; Magnoliopsida; Solanales; Solanaceae
Description: long non-coding RNA (STUB_LNC002914)
Source: RNAcentral